Symphalangus syndactylus (siamang) is the source of this 464-nucleotide long non-coding RNA. RefSeq lists it as uncharacterized. NCBI's taxonomy places the organism in Eukaryota, Metazoa, Chordata, Mammalia, Primates, Hylobatidae. The record is from RefSeq and is a predicted model, not a curated record.
UGCUAAAUGAACAUCUGAGACUCUUAUUCAGAAGGUUUGAGAUGGGGCCCAAGAUGCUUUUCUGACAAGUUUCCUGGUGAUGCAAUGUUGCUGUUGGGGAAACCUCCAUUUGCCUUUCAGGGGGACUCAGGCAAAGACACCAAUAUGAUCCUUUCAUAUUUCCUAUCUUUUGAAGAUUUUGCAGACUCAAAGAUUCAAGAUGAUAAAUUCAUUUGAAACUGAAGAUAUCUGCAAAAGGGAAUGUCUGAGAUUUGUUGGCUUCAACUGAACAAUUAGUCACCAAGAAUUGAAAUUACCCAUACGUGAUUCAUGAAAUGCUAUCAAGCUGCCAUCAUUUCUGGAGGCAGAGAACUACUAGAUAACAUCUUUGAGAAACACUGAGGAUUUCAGUGACUAUUUUAUAAGAGGGAGGCACUUAUUUUUUUCUGUCUCGGGAAAGUAUCAAAAAAUCUUGGCAUUUAUCG